AACGAACGCUGGCGGCAUGCCUAACACAUGCAGGUCGAACGAGACCUUCGGGUCUAGUGGCGCACGGGUGCGUAACGCGUGGGAACCUGCCCUUAGGUUCGGAAUAACUCCCCGAAAGGGGCGCUAAUACCGGAUAAUGUCUUCGGACCAAAGAUUUAUCGCCUUUGGAUGGGCCCGCGUUGGAUUAGCUAGUUGGUAGGGUAAAAGCCUACCAAGGCGACGAUCCAUAGCUGGUCUGAGAGGAUGAUCAGCCACACUGGGACUGAGACACGGCCCAGACUCCUACGGGAGGCAGCAGUGGGGAAUAUUGGACAAUGGGCGAAAGCCUGAUCCAGCAAUGCCGCGUGAGUGAUGAAGGCCUUAGGGUUAUAAAGCUCUUUUACCCGGGAUGAUAAUGACAGUACCGGGAGAAUAAGCUCCGGCUAACUCCGUG
This 433-nucleotide ribosomal RNA is filed under the name uncultured bacterium. RNAcentral describes it as "partial 16S ribosomal RNA". It matches the Rfam family "Bacterial small subunit ribosomal RNA", at positions 29 to 507 of the family's 1533-position model. The record is from RNAcentral.